RNAcentral lists this unclassified non-coding RNA (1686 nucleotides) under Apis florea (little honeybee). Its description in RNAcentral is "slowpoke-binding protein, transcript variant X3". The record is from RNAcentral. Lineage: Eukaryota; Metazoa; Arthropoda; Insecta; Hymenoptera; Apidae.
AAUAUUACUAUAAUAAUAUCACUAACAAAGAAAGAGAAAUUAAAAAUUAAAAUAAAUAAAUUUAAAGUAACACGCACGAGAUUCAUGUCAUUCAUUUAAAAAUAUAAAUAUAUAAAGAAUUCAACAAAAUGUUCAAUUUAUAUCAGAAUUUAAAUAAAAGAGACGAUGAUCAUAAAGAAUCAGAUGUCACAGGACAUGAUAGAUUUUGGCAAGAACGUCCAAAGACGCGUCGAAAACGUCGUGCCAUCAAUCGAAGAACUCAAAGUGCCAUUGAACUGGAUUCUGAGGCUAUAGUCUCUGCUCGAAGUACUCUUAGGCGUGGAAGAAGCGCAAGCAUCGAAGACGAAGAUAGUGACGAAGAAAAGAAUUAUCAAUUGACCAAUAAAAUUGACAAUCUAGCCAAAAUAUUAUUUAGUCGCGUAUCUGCUGCUCGAAGUUGUAAAGAUUCUGAUACUAGGAAUGGAAAGCAUAAUUAUACAGAAUUGGGUCACGGAUCAUCUAUUUGUGAAGGUGUUGGCGAAUGUAUGGAAAUGGAGAAAAGGUCCAGAGAUCGUGCCUUAUCAAUUUGUCAAACUUAUGUUUGUAGAACAUCACGUUAUAAUUUCAUUAAACAGCUAAAUAAUCUCGGUUCUAGAAUGGACAAACAUUGGUUCAUAGUCAGAGAUACUUCUUUAAAAACCGAUCGAUUGAUUACGUUAGUUCCAUUGACUAAAAACUGUUCAUUGAAUAUAACUCCAAUGACGAAGAAUAUUUUGAAUGAAUUAUUCUUAGCUCUGCAACAUCCAUACAUAUGCCCUAUAUUUGAUAUCGAUUUUCUUGAAUAUGAUAAUAAAAAUUAUGUAAUUGUAGUUCAACCAAUAAGUCAAGGUAGUUUGAAAGAUUUGAUAUAUGGAAUCGAAAGAACAGGUUGGAAUGAAGAUUGGAAUCAAAAAUAUAGUUCUCGUGGUAAAGGACUUCCUUUACCUCAAGUUCAACAAAUGGGACGUCAAAUACUGGAAGCAUUAAUAUUCUUAAAAGAAAGAGGAUUUCCGACUGUAAUUCAUUUGCAUUCAGGAAAUGUGCUCAUUCAAAACGGUGUCGCACGUCUCGCUGGCCUUGAAAAUACCCUUCUUGGUUUUACCAGUCGAAUACAUCCAUUAAUUAUAUCUCGAAUAUCACAAACUAUUUCAAUUGAUAUGACAUGUUUUGGUCACAUGCUGUUUGAGAUGUGCGCUGGUUAUGAAUUACCAUCAUUUAAGCCAAAUUCCGUUCAUCUAUCGGAUGUUGAAAUGUCAUCGAGUUAUUCAAAUUCAUAUUUGAUGAAUUAUCUAAUCGUUAUAAGAUUAUCGAGGAAAUUCUUAUUCAUGAUUUAUUCAGAAAUAUUGAUCUUCGUGAAAUGCGAAGUGCUCCUGUUACGUUAUUUCGUCCAAUCUUAACGCCGCCCAUUGUAAACUUUCUUGACAACAUUAAACGACAAAAUGCUAAUAAGAGGCAAAGAUCGCGUUCUAUAAGCGACGUCUAUUUGACACGCAGAUUUUGAAUUAUACAUUUCAAUAAUGUCGACAUUGAUAUGACAUCUUUACAUAGACGAUAUUCUAUUUGUAAGAAUUCUUUACUUGACGAAAUCUACAACGAACUUUCGAAUACAGUUGUAUAAUUAUAAAAAUAUUUAUUUUGUUAGUAUUAUUAUAUUCAUAUAUUUCUUUA